UAGAUAAAAGUAUUAUCAUACACCUCGAUUUCGGCUCGAGAAUAAAAGGUGAAAAUCCUUUUUUAUCUU
RNAcentral lists this transfer RNA (69 nucleotides) under Goniada japonica. Its description in RNAcentral is "tRNA-Arg". Lineage: Eukaryota; Metazoa; Annelida; Polychaeta; Phyllodocida; Goniadidae. The record is from RNAcentral.